Long non-coding RNA from Homo sapiens (human), 362 nucleotides. Ensembl annotates it as MLIP antisense RNA 1. Its record names the gene MLIP-AS1. The record is from Ensembl. NCBI's taxonomy places the organism in Eukaryota, Metazoa, Chordata, Mammalia, Primates, Hominidae.
GGCAGAAGCUCAGUCUAAGUGCCUGCAACAGAAUUUGUCCCAUAUCCAUACAACUUGCUCCUCCACAACAAAUGGGAGAAUCAUCCUCUUACCUCCAGGACAAGUCCCUUCCUGAAAAGCUCUUCAUUGUCUCUUGAAAACGGUCUGUGAAAGUGCCAAACCACCAGCUCUCCAGAUGUGGCUGAAUAUCAAGGUCUCUACAAAUAAAUACCAUAAAGAAGCUACAAGCAGCCAGGCAUGGUGGCUCACACCUGUAAUCCCAGAUACUCAGGAGGCUGAGGCAUGAGAAUCGUUUGAACCUGGAGGCAGAGGUUGCAGUGAACCAAGAUGGCCCCACUGCUCUCCAGCCUGGGUGACAGAGC